GACGAACGCUGGCGGCGUGCUUAACACAUGCAAGUCGAGCGGAAAGGCCCGGCUUUUGUGGGUUGCUCGAGUGGCGAACGGGUGAGUAACACGUGAUUAACCUGCCCUGGACUUUGGGAUAACUUCAGGAAACGGGGGUUAAUACCGGAUAGGAGCUCCUGCUGCAUGGUGGGGUUUGGAAAGUUUCGGCGGUUGGGGAUGGAUUCGCGGCUUAUCAGCUUGUUGGUGGGGUAGUGGCUUACCAAGGCUUUGACGGGUAGCCGGCCUGAGAGGGUGACCGGCCACAUUGGGACUGAGAUACGGCCCAGACUCCUACGGGAGGCAGCAGUGGGGAAUAUUGCACAAUGGGCGGAAGCCUGAUGCAGCAACGCCGCGUGCGGGAUGACGGCCUUCGGGUUGUAAACCGCUUUCGCCUGUGACGAAGCGUGAGUGACGGUAAUGGGUAAAGAAGCACCGGCUAACUACGUG
This 468-nucleotide ribosomal RNA is filed under the name uncultured bacterium. Its description in RNAcentral is "partial 16S ribosomal RNA". It matches the Rfam family "Bacterial small subunit ribosomal RNA", at positions 28 to 507 of the family's 1533-position model. The record is from RNAcentral.